AUUAUCGCUUCUUACUUCUCCACCAACGUUGUGCUCUUCUUCCUUAUUCACUGUCGAACUCUUCAUCCUCCUCCUUCUCGGUCAUGUUUCCUCGCUCAUCAGUCCUCACCAUCGGUCUGUGUCGUCCUCACUGCUGUGCUCUUCUCCAUCUUCGUUCGUCCAUUGUAGUUGGUAAGUUGCUGUAUUUUUCUUUCUCUGUCGUUGCCCUCUGCUUCAUCACUGGUCCGAGCCAGCAUGUGUGUGUGAGUGCUCUUCAAUUUCCUUUCUUCUUCAGCAGCUGCACGUCUUGUAAAUAUGUGUGAUGAGCUCAAUUUUUUCCAUGGCUGGCUGGCAAUCCUGCUCUUCUUCUUCUCUGCCCUGUCAUAGCUGUUGUAAAAGGUAUGUGGAAGAAUAGGAUCCCAACAAGAAUUAAUGAAGAAUAUCUUUGAGAAUUUGGAACUCCAAUGUGGUGUGAGAGAUAGUCUUGAGGAGCUGAUGAUGAAACAAAGGCAUUUACAAUGAUAUCAUAUGUAGUUCUUUACCCAAAAUAGUUGUAACCAGAAUGUCAGGGUGAAUUAUGUGAGACAAAAUUAGUAAGACAUGGUUUUGUGUGCUGUGGGCUGUCAACAUCUGCUAAUCCCCUCCAUUAUUGCUCUUCAUGCUUUCUCUUCCAUUUGUUCUAAGGUUGGUAUUUCCCUCCCUCCAUUAUUGCAAUCUUUCUUUGCUCCAAUUUAGUCAUUAUAUAAAUUGGAAAUAGGACUUUCCACACUUAAAAAAUUUUACACCUGGAAAAAGGUUAGUCAUUUAAUUUGCCAAGGCUUCUGAAUUCAUCCAAAUCUAAAGCAUCCACGUGUCGUUGUCUGUUGAAGUUUUCGGUGCCUUCCAGAUUUGAAGUGCCAUCACGAUAUGCUCUUACUCUUGCUCAUCCAACUGAAGUUGCUGAAGCUCGUUCAAGCAUUUUAGUCUCAAUCCCAUGAUCAUUACUUCCAUCCUUUAUCAAUUCUCGCGUUUCAACCUUUAGUUUUAGCUUCCAUCAUCUUCUCAUCUAGUUAUUUUCAAAUACCUUAAGUUACUUGAAGAAAUUUGUUUCCAACCUCUAUUCAUGCUCAUCCAGAGCAUAAGCAAAGUUGUUGAAACUCAAAGGGAAAAAUAGUUGCAAAUACAUAUAAAUUAUUUGAAGAAAUUUGCAUGUCUUUCAAUAAGAUUGAUAGUCUUGUAUGUUUUGCAGGAUGAUAUUAUUUGCAUCGAAAUUAUGAAUUUAGAAGCUCAGGCUCAACUCAACUUAAUUGGCCUUAAAAUAAUUAAAAAUUAAUAAUCAUGAUGCCUUAGCUAUUAAGUCAAGACUAGGUCUAAGUCAUUAUCUUUACACUCCACCCAUAAUGCUUGAAUUAUGAAAGUUAGGAAAAUGGCCAUGAUAGAGAAAGUCCUUCCUAAAUUCAAGAAAAGUGGCAAUCAUGGGGCUUGGGUCAAGCCAAGAUCAUCUAUAAAAAGAGGAGCAUUUUCUCAACAAGGAUAAUUAUUAGCAUCAAAAAACUACUAGUCAAAUUCUUAGAUUUUGCGUUUGCUACAUUAUUUUAUUUUUCCUUUUAUCAUGUAGUUUUAGUCUUUAUUUUUUUUAUUGUACAGUAGACAUAACUUGUCACCUCUUUCUUCAAUUAAUAUAUCUCUACUUCCUUGCAUCUACAAUAUUUUUCUUCACUUUGCAUUCUUACAUUCGGGUGAACAAUGAUAAAAGACCCUAAGUUCCUCACAUUUGAAUCGAAGUCAAGUUCUUCCAUCCUUUUAAGAUCUUACGUCUCUAGCAUGCCUUGCAACACGCCCUUUUUUAUUUUUGCUGAACAGAUAUAUUUCAUAUACCAUAGGCUUAGAAAUCAUGUUGGGGAGAUUUUGGAAGUUGGGAUCCUAUGAUUACUAUACCUCUUGGCUUGUAUAUUCGUGGAAACUUGAAACUUGUUGCCCUAUUCAUUUGUUUAGUUUCAUUAAUUUAGUCAACUAACUAAAUAAAUUAUGUCAUUUUAUCUUACAAUACUUUGAAGAUGCCUGA
Molecule: long non-coding RNA, 2023 nt
Organism: Prosopis cineraria
Lineage: Eukaryota; Viridiplantae; Streptophyta; Magnoliopsida; Fabales; Fabaceae
Exons: 4
Source: RefSeq, a predicted model, not a curated record